This 270-nucleotide ribosomal RNA is filed under the name uncultured prokaryote. RNAcentral describes it as "partial 16S ribosomal RNA". It matches the Rfam family "Bacterial small subunit ribosomal RNA", at positions 524 to 792 of the family's 1533-position model. The record is from RNAcentral.
UACGGAGGGUGCGAGCGUUGUCCGGAAUUACUGGGCGUAAAGAGCUCGUAGGUGGUUUGUCGCGUCGUCUGUGAAAUUCCGGGGCUUAACUCCGGGCGUGCAGGCGAUACGGGCAUAACUUGAGUACUGUAGGGGAGACUGGAAUUCCUGGUGUAGCGGUGAAAUGCGCAGAUAUCAGGAGGAACACCAAUGGCGAAGGCAGGUCUCUGGGCAGUUACUGACGCUGAGGAGCGAAAGCAUGGGUAGCGAACAGGAUUAGAUACCCCGGUA